RNAcentral lists this ribosomal RNA (530 nucleotides) under Paroedura gracilis. RNAcentral's name for it is "partial 16S ribosomal RNA". It matches the Rfam family "Bacterial large subunit ribosomal RNA", at positions 1841 to 2585 of the family's 2925-position model. Lineage: Eukaryota; Metazoa; Chordata; Lepidosauria; Squamata; Gekkonidae. The record is from RNAcentral.
AAGUAUAAAGGCCCAGCCUGCCCAGUGAACUAGUUUUAACGGCCGCGGUAUCCUAACCGUGCAAAGGUAGCGUAAUCACUUGUCUCCUAAUUAGAGACCGGUAUGAACGGCCACAUGAGGACCAAACUGUCUCAUAUAACAAGUCAAUGAAACUGAACUCUCAGUCCAAAAGCUGAGAUAAACCCAUAAGACGAGAAGACCCCGCGGAGCUUAAACCGCCCUACUACCAAAAUACACACGGGCCUUAAGCCCAACACCACCAUGUACCAAGACAUAGUAAGCCGCUUUGAGUUGGGGCAACUGUGGAGAAAAACAAAACCUCCAUGAACUAGGACUAACCAUCCAUUCCAGGCCUACCAGCCAAAAAUAACCAACAUCGACCCAGUAAUACUCCCCAUCGAACCAAGUUACCCCGGGGAUAACAGCGCUAUCCCCUCCAAGAGUCCACAUCACCGAGGGGGUUUACGACCUCGAUGUUGGAUCAGGGCCCCCAGGCGGUGCAGCCGCUGCCAAAGGUUCGUUUGUUCAAC